RNAcentral lists this small RNA (3624 nucleotides) under Rattus norvegicus (Norway rat). RNAcentral describes it as "Sec61 translocon subunit gamma like 1 (Sec61gl1)". Lineage: Eukaryota; Metazoa; Chordata; Mammalia; Rodentia; Muridae. The record is from RNAcentral.
GGCCACACCUCCUCCAGCAAGUCCACACUUCCAAAUCCUUUCAAAUGGUGUUGAUCCCUGAUCCCUAAGCGUUAGAAUAUAUGAGCCUACAGAGCAAUUCUUACACAAACCACCAAAGACAGCUUGGCCUAUAGUGGGGUUUUCUAAGUGUCUGUCCCAAUGGGAGUAGCUAAGUACCAUUUCUGCAAAACAUAAAGUAAGUACCUUUGUUGUUGUUGUUGUUUUUCCUUCACAGGACAAGGUUUUUGACACAUUAUACAUGCCUAUGUAGUUCAAAGUUCUUUGGACUGUGUUGCAACCUCCCGUGAGCCUCUGCGAGGAGGUUACUUCCUAAAGCAGUCUGAAGACAACAACUGAACGUUGACUUCUUUUGGUUUUCUUUUCCCAGUGUACUCUCACAUAAAUUGCUGGGGUUCCAGACGCCAUGAUGCAUUUACGGUAUCUUCAGAGUCCAGAAGAGAGGGAUUCAGGUUUCCUGGAGCUGCAGCUAAAGGUGGGAGCUGAGCUCGGGACCUCUGCGAUAGCAGUCUGUGCUCUUCACUGCUGAGCCAUCGCCUCUCCAGCCUCACAACAUGAGCACACUCAAUCCACUUCAUGUUGCUCAUGUGGACAUGGGUAUCCAGCCAUCCCCUGAGGUUUGGGCAGCCUACUGGUCGACACCCACAGAGAAGAGCGACUCUCACCUGACAGUCAUUAAGGCCAAUAUCUUCUCAGAGGUGGAACCUUGGGAGCUCUUCCCCACUCCAUGCUGAAUUUGAACAGGCUUGAUCUUGUGCAGCUCUUAUAUAAUUUCUGCUCGGUCUUCUGCAAUGGCUCCUGCGUGUUGGGUGGUGAGCAGCUAUCUGGACGAUCCAUCCAAAGCUGAGCACUUACACUCACUCCUACUUGGCAUGGAGACCUAAGUCAACUGCUACCCACUGUAUGAAGACGUUUCCCUGGCAAAGGGUGAGAGCAGCACACAUCUGUGGAUGUAGACAUACAUAGUUAGAAGGCAGUUUGAUAAUAUGACCAUUAGCAAACAUAAUCAAAGGGUUCUUCCCUUGGGCCUUUGACUUCCCCAGCCUUGGGUUUUGACUGGGUUUUCAGAACAAGGCAUGAAUCCCUCCUGUAGAACAGGCCUACAUCCAACCUAGAAAACAGCUGGUUACCUCCAUAAACUGUCUUGCCACGAUUGCAACAGUCAGAAGGUCAGUAUUGUAGCAUACUAGUCCUAUCUUUUCUCCUCCAGCAUCCUGCAAAGCCCCUUCUAGCACUAUUAAAGCUAGUCAGUAGGGCAAGAGUUCCCCAGACAAUUCAAGGUCAAUUUCUUUCAUCUUGCAACCAGUGUUUUCCAUAAUAGGUUUUACCAUCUAGUUAUGGGGGGCAACCAAGAGCAGUGGCAAUAACCUGGGUUGUUUGGGAUACCUCUGGGCUUCUCUGAUCUCUAAAUUCCUAGGGACCAGUGCCCGGCACUGAGAUUUUCAUUUAACAACUUAUGUCUUCUGGCAGUAACAACGUGUCCCCGACCUAAAGGUUUGGAGAACAGCCUGGCCACUAAACUGAUAUCUCUCUGCUUCUGUAAACUCUUGUUUACUACAGAUGUCCAGAGCUGCUUUUCAGCACACAUCACAGUUGCAGUUUUUGCCUUUAAAAACUUGAUAAAAUGGAGGUCAAGGCUGCUUCCUGCUACUAUGCCUGAGACAACCCACUGGAGGUAAAGACUCCAUAUGACUUAUCCACACACCUUGGGAAUUUUUCUCUUCAGGUACCCUUUAAUACUUGGGGGCUCCUACCAACAUUUCAGAGAAGACUCCCUCACCCCUGACCCUAGUCAAGGAUCAGGGCUGUCAGUCCAAGGAGAGGUCACGGAGAGAACAUUCCUUGGCCCUAGGAAUCAACUGCCCCUCUCCAACUUUCCCCCUAAAUGUUUUUGAAGAAGUCUACCUACAUUUAUAUUCGGUACCUCUGGACAUAAGAUAAACCUAGGUUUCAGGUUCCUAGUCUUUCUGGGAAAUUGGGGGAACUCAUGGACAAAGGGACACAUGGUAGGAAUUCCCGUAUCCAGGAUUCCCCUUCUCACCCUCAGGAUCUGGUUUGUCUUGGUGGCCACCGAUUUCUGUCUUGUUUGUUGCAUUCGUUUUCAAUGUCUCUUUCCCCUGUCUGUGUUUCUGUGCCCCAUUAAUCUUUUCCAUUUACAGUCAGGCAUGGGAAAUCAAACUUCAACAACACUGUCUCCUGAGACUCAGGUAAGUGUCACCAGAGCUGCCUGCUCUGUCUCUGUUGGCUCCUGGAGCCUAUUACAGUUACAAAAGCUGUACCAGUGUGUCAGACUGCUUCUCCCACCCCUCCUGGGCUGCUAAGCCCUGUCUUCCAGCUCCCUCCUGGAUCUUGUUCCGUCUCUCUUGCCCCAUUGCUCUUCUUUGCUUUGGGCUGCUGCCUCACUAGCUCGAUCUGUCUCUCACCUCCCACCUGGAGCUUCUUCUGUCUCUAGCCAUGGCAAACAACUUGUUUCUUCUUUUCUCCCUUUCUCAUUGCCAGACUGGAGUCUGCUGUUUCACAGGUUCAUCGGGCAUUUCUCUAUGCCUUCCUGGGCCUCUAAUAUACCGUAGUUCUCCAUCUGUCAAAGCCCCUGUUUAAAAUCCUUUCCUCUAAGUUUCUCCCAUCUCUUCUGCUUCUGAAGGAAGUCUUCUUGCCAGCCAUCUCUCAGGUGACUCCUGUCUCUAAGCACUGGGCUCUCAGGCUGCCUCUGCCCGACCCCAGCCAGUGUAGGGUGGUGCUGGCAAUCAUAGUAGGCAGAUCCAUGGCGACCAUAAGUACCUCCACCUGCUUUGUUUUGCCACCUGCUGCCUGUUGUGCUAUGGGAGCUCGCCUGUCCUCAGGGCUCUUAGCUAGAGGGGCACUAGAUUUCCAAAUUCUCACAGGUUGUUCCUCUGCCAUGGCACAAACAAAUGUCCCCAAAUCUCUUAUCUUCAAGCCUUCUUUGCUCUCUGCUCUGAGCCUCCUCUGUUCUCUGCUUGCUCUGGCCUCACCCUCUGGCCACUGGAUUCAGUUUUGCAGGGAUUCAGGUGUCUUUGAGGUCCGGAUAAAAUUAAGAUACUGUUUUGUGUUGUUCUACUCUAUAAAAACGCUGGAUCUGAAAUUGUGCUAUGGCCUUCUUUUUUUCUGCACCCCUCCCCCCAAGCAUGCUUGUUUAAGUCUCCUUCGGGGUUGGGGCUGGUGAGAACAAAGAUGAUGGUGGCCAUUGGCACCUGCCUCAGAGCUCUGAGGAUUCUGAGAGACCCAUGGAAUAUGCAGAGCUCACAGCAACUCUGGAACAACAAUGACAACACCAACAGCAACAACAGCAGCAACAACAGCAACAGCAAUAACAGGCAAGUUGAGAGAUAGGGUUUUAAAUUAGCUCAAAACUCAGCAACAGGAUCUGACUCAGGAAGACAGAUUGUUAAAAAUGCAGGAGAACUGGUAUAGACUCACUGACACUUUGCUUAUCACCGGACCUGAGUAAAUGAGUAAUGGAUUCUGUUCUGCCCCUGUGAUGUUUGUUCAAGCCCCCAUUGUGCCCUCCAGCCAUUUUGUCCUGCAGAAAGUAUUCCAGGAAACGGGCCAAGCCUAACCAGAUGUGUUUCAGACGCAGAUGCCUCAUCA